Molecule: ribosomal RNA, 494 nt
Filed under: uncultured bacterium
Lineage: Bacteria
Description: partial 16S ribosomal RNA
Rfam family: Bacterial small subunit ribosomal RNA
Source: RNAcentral
GACGAACGCUGGCGACGCGCUUAACACAUGCAAGUCGAACGGAAAGGCCUGCUUUCCCUUGUGGAUUGCGGGUACUCGAGUGGCGAACGGGUGAGUAACACGUGAGUGAUCUGCCCCCAACUUGGGUAUAAGCCUGGGAAACUGGGUCUAAUUCCCGAUAGGACUGCAGGGUGGUGCCUGUGGUGGAAAACGAUUUUCUAGUGGUUGGGGAUGAGCUCGCGGCCUAUCAGCUUGUUGGUGGGGUAAUGGCCUACCAAGGCGGCGACGGGUAGCCGGCCUGAGAGGGUGGACGGCCACAUUGGGACUGGGUUACGGCCCAGACUCCUACGGGAGGCAGCAGUGGGGAAUAUUGGACAAUGGGCGGAAGCCUGAUGCAGCGACGCCGCGUGGGGGAUGACGGCCUUCGGGUUGUAAACUCCUUUCGACCGCGAGGAAGCCACCUGGUUGGAAGGGUGGUGACGGUAGUGGUAGAAGAAGCACCGGCUAACUACGUG